GUCAGAGUUUGAUCCUGGCUCAGAUUGAACGCUGGCGGCAUACUUUACACAUGCAAGUCGAACGGUAACAGGUUAAGCUGACGAGUGGCGAACGGGUGAGUAAUGCAUCGGAACGUGCCCGAUCGUGGGGGAUAACGCAGCGAAAGCUGCGCUAAUACCGCAUACGAUCUGAGGAUGGAAAGCGGGGGACCGUAAGGCCUCGCGCGAUCGGAGCGGCCGAUGUCAGUAUUAGGUAGUUGGUGGGUAAAGGCUCACC
RNAcentral lists this ribosomal RNA (256 nucleotides) under uncultured Hydrogenophaga sp. Its description in RNAcentral is "partial 16S ribosomal RNA". It matches the Rfam family "Bacterial small subunit ribosomal RNA", at positions 1 to 269 of the family's 1533-position model. The record is from RNAcentral. Lineage: Bacteria; Pseudomonadati; Pseudomonadota; Betaproteobacteria; Burkholderiales; Comamonadaceae.